RNAcentral lists this long non-coding RNA (202 nucleotides) under Elaeis guineensis (African oil palm). RNAcentral describes it as "long non-coding RNA (EGUI_LNC052985)". The record is from RNAcentral. Lineage: Eukaryota; Viridiplantae; Streptophyta; Magnoliopsida; Arecales; Arecaceae.
AGCCCCAUUGUUCAAUUAGAUUGAGUCAAGUCUUACUAACUUACUAAUUAUUAAUUAAUCCUCCUACAACUUACUAACUCUUAGUAAGUUUGAUAAUUACAAUAAUUGUAUGAGAUUAAAUAUCAAUCAUAUUGAUAAUUAAAUCACUCUGUGAUUCAUAAUCACAAAUCAACCAUUUAAUUAGAUAAAGACUUCUUUUGUA